GAUGAAGAACGCAGCGAAAUGCGAUAAGUAAUGAGAAUUGCAGAAUUCAGUGAAUCAUCGAAUCUUUGAACGCACAUUGCGCCCGCCAGCACUCUGGCGGGCAUGCCUGUUCGAGCGUCAUUUCAACCAUCAAGCCCCCAGGGGCUUGUGCUGGGGCCCUGCGGCUGCCCGCAGGCCCUGAAAACCAGUGGCGGGCUCGCUAGUCACACCGAGCGCAGUAGCACAUCUCGCUCAGGGCGUGCGGCGGGCUCCUGCCGUGAAACCCCCCACUGUAACCCCAAAGGUUGACCUCGGAUCAGGUAGGAAUACCCGCUGAACUUAAGCAUAUCAAUAAGCGGAGGA
Molecule: unclassified non-coding RNA, 342 nt
Filed under: soil metagenome
Description: partial contains 5.8S ribosomal RNA, internal transcribed spacer 2, and large subunit ribosomal RNA
Rfam family: 5.8S ribosomal RNA (bases 1-120)
Source: RNAcentral